RNAcentral lists this ribosomal RNA (252 nucleotides) under uncultured microorganism. RNAcentral describes it as "partial 16S ribosomal RNA". It matches the Rfam family "Bacterial small subunit ribosomal RNA", at positions 524 to 776 of the family's 1533-position model. The record is from RNAcentral.
UACGUAGGUCCCGAGCGUUGUCCGGAUUUAUUGGGCGUAAAGCGAGCGCAGGUGGUUUAAUAAGUCUGAUGUAAAAGGCAGUGGCUCAACCAUUGUGUGCAUUGGAAACUGGUAGACUUGAGUGCAGGAGAGGAGAGUGGAAUUCCAUGUGUAGCGGUGAAAUGCGUAGAUAUAUGGAGGAACACCGGUGGCGAAAGCGGCUCUCUGGCCUGUAACUGACACUGAGGCUCGAAAGCGUGGGGAGCAAACAGG